This 96-nucleotide transfer RNA is filed under the name Leptolyngbya sp. IPPAS B-1204. RNAcentral describes it as "tRNA-Arg". It matches the Rfam family "tRNA". Rfam says of the family: Transfer RNA (tRNA) molecules are approximately 80 nucleotides in length. Their secondary structure includes four short double-helical elements and three loops (D, anti-codon, and T loops). The record is from RNAcentral. RNAcentral also lists the same sequence under 2 other names. Lineage: Bacteria; Bacillati; Cyanobacteriota; Cyanophyceae; Leptolyngbyales; Leptolyngbyaceae.
GAGGACGUGGUGUAACUGAACAACAUCUCAGAUUACGAACCUGUAGCUCGCUUCCCGAAGGGUAGAGUGGGGGUUUGAGUCCCUCCGUCCUCGCCA